GGUAAGGUAGGUCAAGUUUAGGUCAACGGGCUCAUGCCCCGGAGGUACACCAAGUGUUCUUACUG
RNAcentral lists this transfer RNA (65 nucleotides) under Magallana nippona (Iwagaki oyster). RNAcentral's name for it is "tRNA-Met". Lineage: Eukaryota; Metazoa; Mollusca; Bivalvia; Ostreida; Ostreidae. The record is from RNAcentral. RNAcentral also lists the same sequence under 3 other names.